This 301-nucleotide ribosomal RNA is filed under the name uncultured bacterium. RNAcentral describes it as "partial 16S ribosomal RNA". It matches the Rfam family "Bacterial small subunit ribosomal RNA", at positions 509 to 809 of the family's 1533-position model. The record is from RNAcentral.
CAGUCGCCGCGGUAAUACCGAGGGUGCGAGCGUUAAUCGGAUUUACUGGGCGUAAAGCGUGCGUAGGCGGCUAAUUGAGUCGGAUGUGAAAUCCCCGAGCUUAACUUGGGAAUCGCAUUCGAUACUGGUUAGCUAGAGUGUGGGAGAGGAUGGUAGAAUUCCAGGUGUAGCGGUGAAAUGCGUAGAGAUCUGGAGGAAUACCGAUGGCGAAGGCAGCCAUCUGGCCUAACACUGACGCUGAGGUACGAAAGCAUGGGGAGCAAACAGGAUUAGAUACCCCAGUAGUCCCUGUCUCUUAUAA